RNAcentral lists this ribosomal RNA (253 nucleotides) under uncultured bacterium. RNAcentral's name for it is "partial 16S ribosomal RNA". It matches the Rfam family "Bacterial small subunit ribosomal RNA", at positions 524 to 776 of the family's 1533-position model. The record is from RNAcentral.
UACAGAGGGUGCGAGCGUUAAUCGGAAUUACUGGGCGUAAAGGAUGCGUAGGUGGUUAUGUAAGUUAGGUGUGAAAUUCCUGGGCUUAACCUGGGGACUGCGCCUGAUACUGUGUAGCUAGAGUACUGUAGAGGAAAGUGGAAUUUCCGGUGUAGCGGUGAAAUGCGUAGAUAUCGGAAGGAACAUCAGUGGCGAAGGCGACUUUCUGGACAGCUACUGACACUGAGGCACGAAAGCAUGGGGAGCAAACAGG